This 460-nucleotide ribosomal RNA is filed under the name uncultured bacterium. RNAcentral describes it as "partial 16S ribosomal RNA". It matches the Rfam family "Bacterial small subunit ribosomal RNA", at positions 338 to 795 of the family's 1533-position model. The record is from RNAcentral.
CCUACGGGUGGCUGCAGUGAGGAAUAUUGGUCAAUGGACGAGAGUCUGAACCAGCCAAGCAGCGUGAAGGAUGACUGCCCUCUGGGUUGUAAACUUCUUUUAUAUGGGAAUAAAAUGUUCCACGUGUGGGAUUUUGUAUGUACCUUAUGAAUAAGGAUCGGCUAACUCCGUGCCAGCAGCCGCGGUAAUACGGAGGAUCCGAGCGUUAUCCGGAUUUAUUGGGUUUAAAGGGAACGUAGGUGGAUGGUUGAGUCAGUUGUGAAAGUUUGGGGCUCAACCGGAAAAUUGCAGUUGAUACUGGCAGUCUUGAGUACAGUAGAGGUGGGCGGAAUUCGAGGUGUAGCGGUGAAAUGCGUAGAUAUGACGAAGAACUCCGAUUGCGAAGGCAGUUCACUGGACUGCAACUGACACUGAGGCUCGAAAGUGUGGGUAGCAAACAGGAUUAGAUACCCCGGUAGUC